This 255-nucleotide ribosomal RNA is filed under the name uncultured bacterium. RNAcentral's name for it is "partial 16S ribosomal RNA". It matches the Rfam family "Bacterial small subunit ribosomal RNA", at positions 1245 to 1500 of the family's 1533-position model. The record is from RNAcentral.
AGAAGCAAUACCGCGAGGUGGAGCAAAACUUCAAAAAUGGUCUCAGUUCGGACUGUAGGCUGCAACUCGCCUACACGAAGUUGGAAUUGCUAGUAAUCGUGGAUCAGCAUGCCACGGUGAAUACGUUCCCGGGUCUUGUACACACCGCCCGUCACACCAUGGGAGCUGGUAACACCCGAAGUCAGUAGUCUAACCGCAAGGAGGACGCUGCCGAAGGUGGGAUUAGCGACUGGGGUGAAGUCGUAACAAGGUAUC